AAGGACCCCAGGAACAGAAAGACCAGCGGACCUACUUCUUAGCAGGUGGAUGCAACAGUUGGUGAAACAGAUCUUCUGUCCAAGAAAGCCUUCUGAGGUGAUAUCACAUGUGACUUCUGGAGAGAUCUGCUGUUUGUCAUCUCAGAGUGUAAAGAAGGGAUUUUCUUUUCUGGUCUUUUAUGGAAUUUGAAAAUUCAGGAAAAGUGGUAUUGAGGGGCAGGAAUGAUGAGAACUGUUCUUCUGCCUGCUCCUUUUCCAUCUCUGUAAAAUUUAAGUUCGAAGAAACGCUGGCUGAAUUGUAAGUAAUGUAACGAGAAUGAAGCCUUGUUAUGUAAUGGUCUUACAAUUUGUCCUGUAAGACAUUUGCAAUGUGUUAGAGGAGAUUGGACAUGAACAUUCAUUUGUUUGUGAUGAUACUUCAUGAAAACAGACCAAGUUGUUCAUGACUAGUAAUUACUGCACAUGUCUUUGUAGAUCAACAGCGUGUUCAUGUAUUUUGGUUUCACUCUGAAUAAAACACCUCAAGCUUC
Molecule: long non-coding RNA, 530 nt
Organism: Synchiropus splendidus (mandarinfish)
Lineage: Eukaryota; Metazoa; Chordata; Actinopteri; Syngnathiformes; Callionymidae
Exons: 2
Source: RefSeq, a predicted model, not a curated record